Molecule: long non-coding RNA, 392 nt
Organism: Cavia porcellus (domestic guinea pig)
Lineage: Eukaryota; Metazoa; Chordata; Mammalia; Rodentia; Caviidae
Exons: 4
Source: RefSeq, a predicted model, not a curated record
UGCUCAUUACCGUUGACCUCAUCCUCCUGCAUAGAGAGGACGGGCCUCCCACGGUCCUGCCGGAUCCAUGCCCCUUGCCUCUGCCCAUCAAUAUCAGAGGCAGAGUCCGGGUUAAUGCUUGUUGCUGCUACCAGGACUGAGAAAGAAUCAUGAUUCUUGGACCGAGCAGCUACUGAAUCCUCAGGCUCUCCAGUGAGCAGUUAGCCAUAAAGGUUCUCCCACUACUGAUACGGGGUCCAAAGCUGAGCGUGACUCCUGACAGCCGUUGCCCCGUGAAGGAGUGAACAGUACCCCAUGGAGGUGAAUAGCAUGGAAAGGCCCAGAGAAUGGCUCCACUCUUCAUGGCUGCUGGGAUCCAGUGAACCUUGUUGGAAGGCCCAGAGACAAGAGGU